RNAcentral lists this ribosomal RNA (497 nucleotides) under uncultured bacterium. RNAcentral describes it as "partial 16S ribosomal RNA". It matches the Rfam family "Bacterial small subunit ribosomal RNA", at positions 28 to 507 of the family's 1533-position model. The record is from RNAcentral.
GAUGAACGCUGGCGGCGUGCCUAAUACAUGCAAGUCGAGCGAACAGACGAGGAGCUUGCUCCUCUGACGUUAGCGGCGGACGGGUGAGUAACACGUGGAUAACCUACCUAUAAGACUGGGAUAACUUCGGGAAACCGGAGCUAAUACCGGAUAAUAUAUUGAACCGCAUGGUUCAAUAGUGAAAGACGGUUUUGCUGUCACUUAUAGAUGGAUCCGCGCCGCAUUAGCUAGUUGGUAAGGUAACGGCUUACCAAGGCAACGAUGCGUAGCCGACCUGAGAGGGUGAUCGGCCACACUGGAACUGAGACACGGUCCAGGCUCCUACGGGAGGCAGCAGUAGGGAAUCUUCCGCAAUGGGCGAAAGCCUGACGGAGCAACGCCGCGUGAGUGAUGAAGGUCUUCGGAUCGUAAAACUCUGUUAUUAGGGAAGAACAAAUGUGUAAGUAACUAUGCACGUCUUGACGGUACCUAAUCAGAAAGCCACGGCUAACUACGAG